Molecule: ribosomal RNA, 318 nt
Filed under: Cladosporium sp.
Lineage: Eukaryota; Fungi; Ascomycota; Dothideomycetes; Cladosporiales; Cladosporiaceae
Description: partial large subunit ribosomal RNA
Rfam family: Eukaryotic large subunit ribosomal RNA
Source: RNAcentral
UAGCCCGAUAGCGCACAAGUAGAGUGAUCGAAAGAUGAAAACCACUUUGGAAAGAGAGUUACCAAGCACGUGAAAUUGUUAAAAGGGAAGGGAUCGCAACCAGACUUGCUCGCGGUGUUCCGCCGGUCUUCUGACCGGUUCUACUCGCCGCGUUGCAGGCCAGCAUCGUCUGGUGCCGCUGGAUAAGACUUGAGGAAUGUAGCUCCCUCGGGAGUGUUAUAGCCUCUUGUGAUGCAGCGAGCGCCGGGCGAGGUCCGCGCUUCGGCUAGGAUGCUGGCGUAAUGGUCGUAAUCCGCCCGUCUUGAAACACGGACCAAG